GAAUAUUGCGCAAUGGGGGAAACCCUGACGCAGCAACGCCGCGUGAGUGAGGAAGGCCCUCGGGUCGUAAAGCUCUGUCAGAUAAGAAGAACGGUACAUGGUCUAAUAGGCCGUGUAUUUGACGGUACUAACAAAGGAAGCACCGGCCAACUUCGUGCCAGCCGCCGCGGUAAUACGAAGGGUGCAAGCGUUGUUCGGAUUUAUUGGGCGUAAAGCGCGCGCAGGCGGAUAAUUAAGCCAGAUGUGAAAUCUCGGGGCUCAACCCCGAAACUGCGUCUGGAACUGGUUAUCUAGAGUCUCGGAGGGGGAAGCGGAAUCUCGCAUGUAGGGGUAAAAUCCGUAGAGAUGCGAGGGAACACCAGAGCCGAAGGGGGCUUCCUGGACGAGUACUGACGCUGAGGCGCGAAAGCGUGGGGAGCAAACAGG
Molecule: ribosomal RNA, 426 nt
Filed under: uncultured bacterium
Lineage: Bacteria
Description: bacterial SSU rRNA
Rfam family: Bacterial small subunit ribosomal RNA
Source: RNAcentral